GGUUAAGCUAGUAAGAGCACACGGAGGAUGCCUAGGCGCCAGGAGCCGACGAAGGACGUGGCGAACGACGAUAUAGCCUCGGGGAGCUGUAAGCAAGCAUCGAUCCGGGGAUGUCCGAAUGGGGAAACCCGGCUGUCAUAAUAGGCAGUCACUCGCACCUGAAUCUAUAGGGUGUGAAGAGGCAUACGAGGGGAACUGAAACAUCUAAGUACCCUCAGGAAGAGAAAACAAUAGUGAUUCCGUCAGUAGCGGCGAGCGAACGCGGAAGAGCCUAAACCGGAGAGCUUGCUCUCCGGGGUUGUGGGACGUCUCACAUGGAGUCAGGAAGGUGUUUAUUAGACGAAGAGUCCUGGAAAGACUCGCCGUAGAAGGUAAUAGCCCUGUACUCGAAAGUAAAUGCCCUCCGAGACGGAUCCCGAGUACCGCGGGACACGUGAAACCCCGUGGGAAUCCGGCAGGACCAUCUGCUAAGGCUAAAUACUCCCUGGCGACCGAUAGUGAAGCAGUACCGUGAGGGAAAGG
RNAcentral lists this ribosomal RNA (522 nucleotides) under Paenibacillus popilliae. Its description in RNAcentral is "bacterial LSU rRNA". It matches the Rfam family "Bacterial large subunit ribosomal RNA", at positions 1 to 514 of the family's 2925-position model. Lineage: Bacteria; Bacillati; Bacillota; Bacilli; Caryophanales; Paenibacillaceae. The record is from RNAcentral.